RNAcentral lists this ribosomal RNA (253 nucleotides) under uncultured bacterium. RNAcentral describes it as "partial 16S ribosomal RNA". It matches the Rfam family "Bacterial small subunit ribosomal RNA", at positions 524 to 776 of the family's 1533-position model. The record is from RNAcentral.
UACAGAGGUGGCAAGCGUUGUUCGGAAUUACUGGGCGUAAAGGGCGAGUAGGUGGCCAUCUAAGUCAGACGUGAAAUCCCCCGGCUUAACCUGGGAACUGCGUCUGAUACUGGACGGCUAGAGUAUGGGAGAGGAAUGUAGAAUUCCAGGUGUAGCGGUGAAAUGCGUAGAUAUCAGGAGGAACACCGGUGGCGAAGGCGGCCUUCUGGACGGCUACUGACACUGAGACGCGAAAGCGUGGGGAGCAAACAGG